RNAcentral lists this ribosomal RNA (533 nucleotides) under uncultured Enterococcus sp. RNAcentral describes it as "bacterial SSU rRNA". It matches the Rfam family "Bacterial small subunit ribosomal RNA", at positions 394 to 917 of the family's 1533-position model. Lineage: Bacteria; Bacillati; Bacillota; Bacilli; Lactobacillales; Enterococcaceae. The record is from RNAcentral.
ACGCCGCGUGAGUGAAGAAGGUUUUCGGAUCGUAAAACUCUGUUGUUAGAGAAGAACAAGGACGUUAGUAACUGAACGUCCCCUGACGGUAUCUAACCAGAAAGCCACGGCUAACUACGUGCCAGCAGCCGCGGUAAUACGUAGGUGGCAAGCGUUGUCCGGAUUUAUUGGGCGUAAAGCGAGCGCAGGCGGUUUCUUAAGUCUGAUGUGAAAGCCCCCGGCUCAACCGGGGAGGGUCAUUGGAAACUGGGAGACUUGAGUGCAGAAGAGGAGAGUGGAAUUCCAUGUGUAGCGGUGAAAUGCGUAGAUAUAUGGAGGAACACCAGUGGCGAAGGCGGCUCUCUGGUCUGUAACUGACGCUGAGGCUCGAAAGCGUGGGGAGCAAACAGGAUUAGAUACCCUGGUAGUCCACGCCGUAAACGAUGAGUGCUAAGUGUUGGAGGGUUUCCGCCCUUCAGUGCUGCAGCAAACGCAUUAAGCACUCCGCCUGGGGAGUACGACCGCAAGGUUGAAACUCAAAGGAAAUUGACGGA